UGAACGCUGGCGGCAUGCCCUUACACAUUCAAGUCGAACGGUAACAGGUCUUCGGAUGCUGACGAGUGGCGAACGGGUGAGUAAUACAUCGGAACGUGCCCGAUCGUGGGGGAUAACGAAGCGAAAGCUUUGCUAUACCGCAUAAGAUCUACGGAUGAAAGCAGGUGACCGCAAGGCCUUGCGCGAACGGAGCGGCCGAUGGCAGAUUAGGUAGUUGGUGGGAUAAAAGCUUACCAAGCCGACGAUCUGUAGCUGGUCUGAGAGGACGACCAGCCACACCGGGACUGAGACACGGCCCAGACUCCUACGGGAGGCAGCAGUGGGGAAUUUUGGACAAUGGGCGAAAGCCUGAUCCAGCCAUGCCGCGUGCAGGAUGAAGGCCUUCGGGUUGUAAACUGCUUUUGUACGGAACGAAAAGACUCUGGUUCAAUACCUGGGGUCCACUGACGGUACCGUUAAGGAAUAAAACAACCGGCUAAACUACGUUGGCCAGGCAAGGCCGGCGGGUAAAUACG
This 515-nucleotide ribosomal RNA is filed under the name uncultured bacterium. RNAcentral describes it as "bacterial SSU rRNA". It matches the Rfam family "Bacterial small subunit ribosomal RNA", at positions 30 to 527 of the family's 1533-position model. The record is from RNAcentral.